This 1014-nucleotide long non-coding RNA is filed under the name Carassius auratus (goldfish). RNAcentral's name for it is "lncRNA (ENSCARG00000054921.1)". Lineage: Eukaryota; Metazoa; Chordata; Actinopteri; Cypriniformes; Cyprinidae. The record is from RNAcentral.
UCUGCAAUGGUUUUAUCUUCACUUCCUUCCCCUAAACUGUUUGCAUCUUUGGAUGCUAACAGUGCUACUGAUACUUUCUGCUCCACUCUUACAUCUUGUUUAGACACUGUUUGCCCCUUAUCUUCCCGGCCAGCCCGUAACACCCCUCCUGCCCCUUGUUUAUCUGAUGUUCUACGCGAACACCGUUCUAAGCUUAGAGCUUCUGAAAGGGUGUGGCGCAAGUCCAAAAAUACUACUGACAUUAAUGUGUAUCAGUCACUCCUUUCUUCUUUCUCUGCUAAUGUCUCCACUGCUAAAAUUACAUAUUACCAUAACAAAAAUAAUAAUUCGUCUAACUCUUGCAUCCUUUUUAAAACAUUUUCCUCACUUCUUUGUCCUCCUCCUCCCCCUCCUGCUUUAUCUCUAAUAGCAGACGACUUUGCCAUGUUUUUCAUUAAUAAAAUUAAACACAUCAGUGCACAAUUUUCCAUACCACAAUCAGACAAGCUCAUAUCACAAGCAAACUUACACUCAUUUACGUCCUUCUCUUCACUCUCUGAGGGCAGAAGUCAUACAAAUUCAUCCUUUCUAAUCACCCUACAACUUGCCCACUUGAUCCUAUUCCAUCUCAUCUCCUUCAAGCCAUUUCUCCUGCAGUUGUACCUGCACUCACUCACAUCCUCAACACUUCCCUCCACACUGGUGUUUUUCCCUCAUCAUUUGGACAGGCACGUAUAACUCCACUACUUAAGAAACCCAACCCAUCUCUUUUAGAGAACUACAGACCAGUUUCCCUUCUUCCUUUCAUUGCAAAAACACUUGAACGAGCUGUGUUCAACCAAGUCUCUACAUUUAUCACACACAACAACCUCCUUGACAGCAACCAAUCUGGCUUCAGAAGUGGACAUUCAACUGAGACUGCCUUGCUCUCAGUUGUUGAAGCUCUAAGACUGGCAAGAGCAGAAUCCAAAUAUUCUGUACUUAUCCUGCUUAUCCUUCACAGUUAACCACCAGAUCCUCCUUACAACCCUACUG